CAGAGUUGAUCAUGGCUCAGGAUGAACGCUAGCUACAGGCUUAACACAUGCAAGUCGAGGGGCAGCAUGGUCUUAGCUUGCUAAGGCCGAUGGCGACCGGCGCACGGGUGAGUAACGCGUAUCCAACCUGCCUUACACUCUUGGACAGCCUUCUGAAAGGGAGAUUAAUACAAGAUGUUAUCAUGAGUAAGCAUUUUCGCAUGAUUAAAGGUUUACCGGUGUAAGAUGGGGAUGCGUUCCAUUAGAUAGUAGGCGGGGUAACGGCCACCUAGUCUUCGAUGGAUAGGGGUUCUGGAGAGGAAGGUCCCCCACAUUGGAACUGAGACACGGUCCAAACUCCUACGGGAGCA
RNAcentral lists this ribosomal RNA (350 nucleotides) under uncultured bacterium. RNAcentral describes it as "bacterial SSU rRNA". It matches the Rfam family "Bacterial small subunit ribosomal RNA", at positions 8 to 349 of the family's 1533-position model. The record is from RNAcentral.